GACGAACGCUGGCGGCGUGCUUAACACAUGCAAGUCGAGCGGUAAGGCCCUUUCGGGGGUACACGAGCGGCGAACGGGUGAGUAACACGUGGGUGACCUGCCCUCAGCUCUGGGAUAAGCCUGGGAAACCGGGUCUAAUACUGGAUAUGACUCCAUGACGCAUGUUGUGGGGUGGAAAGCCUUGUGCGGCUGAGGAUGGGCCCGCGGCCUAUCAGCUUGUUGGUGGGGUGAUGGCCUACCAAGGCGACGACGGGUAGCCGGCCUGAGAGGGCGACCGGCCACACUGGGACUGAGACACGGCCCAGACUCCUACGGGAGGCAGCAGUGGGGAAUCUUGCGCAAUGGGCGAAAGCCUGACGCAGCGACGCCACGUGAGGGAUGACGGCCU
Molecule: ribosomal RNA, 388 nt
Filed under: uncultured bacterium
Lineage: Bacteria
Description: bacterial SSU rRNA
Rfam family: Bacterial small subunit ribosomal RNA
Source: RNAcentral